UGACAUGGAGCGAACCCCAAAAAUAACGUCUCAGUUCGGAUUGUAGUCUGCAACUCGACUACAUGAAGCUGGAAUCGCUAGUAAUCGCGGAUCAGAAUGCCGCGGUGAAUACGUUCCCGGGUCUUGUACACACCGCCCGUCACACCAUGGGAGUCAGUAACGCCCGAAGUCAGCGACCCAACCGUAAAGGAGGGAGCUGCCGAAGGCGGGACGGAUAACUGGGGUGAAGUCGUAACAAGGUACC
RNAcentral lists this ribosomal RNA (244 nucleotides) under uncultured bacterium. RNAcentral describes it as "partial 16S ribosomal RNA". It matches the Rfam family "Bacterial small subunit ribosomal RNA", at positions 1258 to 1500 of the family's 1533-position model. The record is from RNAcentral.